Molecule: ribosomal RNA, 407 nt
Filed under: uncultured bacterium
Lineage: Bacteria
Description: partial 16S ribosomal RNA
Rfam family: Bacterial small subunit ribosomal RNA
Source: RNAcentral
AAUAUUGCGCAAUGGAGGAAACUCUGACGCAGCGACGCCGCGUGAGCGAUGAAGGUCUUCGGAUCGUAAAGCUCUGUCCUUGGGGAAGAAGAUCGAAAGAUUUGACGGUACCCGAGGAGGAAGCCCCGGCUAACUACGUGCCAGCAGCCGCGGUAAUACGUAGGGGGCAAGCGUUGUCCGGAAUUAUUGGGCGUAAAGGGCGAGUAGGCGGCCAGUUAUGUCAGAUGUGAAAGGCUAGGGCUCAACCCUAACAUGGCAUUUGAAACUGAUUGGCUUGAGAGUAGGAGAGGGAAGUGGAAUUCCUAAUGUAGCGGUGAAAUGCGUAGAUAUUAGGAGGAACACCAGUGGCGAAGGCGACUUCCUGGCCUACAACUGACGCUGAUGCGCGAAAGCGUGGGGAGCAAACA